This 615-nucleotide ribosomal RNA is filed under the name Curvularia lunata. RNAcentral describes it as "partial large subunit ribosomal RNA". It matches the Rfam family "Eukaryotic large subunit ribosomal RNA", at positions 37 to 668 of the family's 3401-position model. The record is from RNAcentral. Lineage: Eukaryota; Fungi; Ascomycota; Dothideomycetes; Pleosporales; Pleosporaceae.
UGCAUAUCAAAAAGCGGAGGAAAAGAAACCAACAGGGAUUGCACUAGUAACGGCGAGUGAAGCGGCAACAGCUCAAAUUUGAAAUCUGGCUCUUUCAGAGUCCGAGUUGUAAUUUGCAGAGGGCGCUUUGGCUUUGGCAGCGGUCCAAGUUCCUUGGAACAGGACGUCACAGAGGGUGAGAAUCCCGUACGUGGUCGCUAGCUAUUGCCGUGUAAAGCCCCUUCGACGAGUCGAGUUGUUUGGGAAUGCAGCUCUAAAUGGGAGGUAAAUUUCUUCUAAAGCUAAAUAUUGGCCAGAGACCGAUAGCGCACAAGUAGAGUGAUCGAAAGAUGAAAAGCACUUUGGAAAGAGAGUCAAACAGCACGUGAAAUUGUUGAAAGGGAAGCGCUUGCAGCCAGACUUGCUUGCAGUUGCUCAUCCGGGCUUUUGCCCGGUGCACUCUUCUGCAGGCAGGCCAGCAUCAGUUUGGGCGGUGGGAUAAAGGUCUCUGACACGUUCCUUCCUUCGGGUUGGCCAUAUAGGGGAGACGUCAUACCACCAGCCUGGACUGAGGUCCGCGCAUCUGCUAGGAUGCUGGCGUAAUGGCUGUAAGCGGCCCGUCUUGAACACGGACCA